AGCGAACGCUGGCGGCAGGCCUAAUACAUGCAAGUCGAGCGGUUCCUUCGGGAACAGCGGCGGACGGGUGAGUAACGCGUGGGAACGUGCCCUUUGGUACGGAACAACUGAGGGAAACUUCAGCUAAUACCGUAUGUGCCCUUCGGGGGAAAGAUUUAUCGCCAUUGGAGCGGCCCGCGUUAGAUUAGCUAGUUGGUAGGGUAAUGGCCUACCAAGGCGACGAUCUAUAGCUGGUCUGAGAGGAUGAUCAGCCACACUGGGACUGAGACACGGCCCAGACUCCUACGGGAGGCAGCAGUAGGGAAUCUUGCGCAAUGGGCGAAAGCCUGACGCAGCCAUGCCGCGUGAAUGAUGAAGGUCUUAGGAUUGUAAAAUUCUUUCACCGGGGACGAUAAUGACGGUACCCGGAGAAGAAGCCCCGGCUAACUUCGUGCCAGCAGCCGCGGUAAUACGAAGGGGGCUAGCGUUGCUCGGAAUUACUGGGCGUAAAGGGAGCGUAGGCGGAUAGUUUAGUCAGAGGUGAAAGCCCAGGGCUCAACCUUGGAAUUGCCUUUGAUACUGGCUAUCUUGAGUAUGGAAGAGGUAUGUGGAACUCCGAGUGUAGAGGUGAAAUUCGUAGAUAUUCGGAAGAACACCAGUGGCGAAGGCGACAUACUGGUCCAUUACUGACGCUGAGGCUCG
This 681-nucleotide ribosomal RNA is filed under the name uncultured Alphaproteobacteria bacterium. Its description in RNAcentral is "bacterial SSU rRNA". It matches the Rfam family "Bacterial small subunit ribosomal RNA", at positions 28 to 755 of the family's 1533-position model. Lineage: Bacteria; Pseudomonadati; Pseudomonadota; Alphaproteobacteria. The record is from RNAcentral.